This 377-nucleotide unclassified non-coding RNA is filed under the name uncultured bacterium. RNAcentral describes it as "contains 16S-23S intergenic spacer region". The record is from RNAcentral.
UCCGGCUUGUCGCCGGCGGUCCCUUUAGAGUGCCCAACUAAAUGAUGGCAACUAAAGGCGAGGGUUGCGCUCGUUGCGGGACUUAACCCAACACCUCACGGCACGAGCUGACGACAGCCAUGCAGCACCUUGCUCCUUGUCCUUGCGGAACGAUCCGUCUCCGGACCCAUCAAGGGCAUUCUAGCCCAGGUAAGGUUCUUCGCGUUACAUCGAAUUAAGCCACAUGCUCCGCCGCUUGUGCGGGUCCCCGUCAAUUCCUUUGAGUUUUAGCCUUGCGGCCGUACUCCCCAGGCGGAGUGCUUAAUGCGUUAGCUGCGGCAAAGAGAGGGUUGAAGACCGCCCCACACCUAGCACCCAACGUUUACGGCUGGGACUAC